This 1892-nucleotide ribosomal RNA is filed under the name Escherichia coli. RNAcentral describes it as "partial 23S ribosomal RNA". It matches the Rfam family "Bacterial large subunit ribosomal RNA", at positions 612 to 2489 of the family's 2925-position model. Lineage: Bacteria; Pseudomonadati; Pseudomonadota; Gammaproteobacteria; Enterobacterales; Enterobacteriaceae. The record is from RNAcentral.
AUAAUGGGUCAGCGACUUAUAUUCUGUAGCAAGGUUAACCGAAUAGGGGAGCCGAAGGGAAACCGAGUCUUAACUGGGCGUUAAGUUGCAGGGUAUAGACCCGAAACCCGGUGAUCUAGCCAUGGGCAGGUUGAAGGUUGGGUAACACUAACUGGAGGACCGAACCGACUAAUGUUGAAAAAUUAGCGGAUGACUUGUGGCUGGGGGUGAAAGGCCAAUCAAACCGGGAGAUAGCUGGUUCUCCCCGAAAGCUAUUUAGGUAGCGCCUCGUGAAUUCAUCUCCGGGGGUAGAGCACUGUUUCGGCAAGGGGGUCAUCCCGACUUACCAACCCGAUGCAAACUGCGAAUACCGGAGAAUGUUAUCACGGGAGACACACGGCGGGUGCUAACGUCCGUCGUGAAGAGGGAAACAACCCAGACCGCCAGCUAAGGUCCCAAAGUCAUGGUUAAGUGGGAAACGAUGUGGGAAGGCCCAGACAGCCAGGAUGUUGGCUUAGAAGCAGCCAUCAUUUAAAGAAAGCGUAAUAGCUCACUGGUCGAGUCGGCCUGCGCGGAAGAUGUAACGGGGCUAAACCAUGCACCGAAGCUGCGGCAGCGACGCUGAUGCGUUGUUGGGUAGGGGAGCGUUCUGUAAGCCUGUGAAGGUGUGCUGUGAGGCAUGCUGGAGGUAUCAGAAGUGCGAAUGCUGACAUAAGUAACGAUAAAGCGGGUGAAAAGCCCGCUCGCCGGAAGACCAAGGGUUCCUGUCCAACGUUAAUCGGGGCAGGGUGAGUCGACCCCUAAGGCGAGGCCGAAAGGCGUAGUCGAUGGGAAACAGGUUAAUAUUCCUGUACUUGGUGUUACUGCGAAGGGGGGACGGAGAAGGCUAUGUUGGCCGGGCGACGGUUGUCCCGGUUUAAGCGUGUAGGCUGGUUUUCCAGGCAAAUCCGGAAAAUCAAGGCUGAGGCGUGAUGACGAGGCACUACGGUGCUGAAGCAACAAAUGCCCUGCUUCCAGGAAAAGCCUCUAAGCAUCAGGUAACAUCAAAUCGUACCCCAAACCGACACAGGUGGUCAGGUAGAGAAUACCAAGGCGCUUGAGAGAACUCGGGUGAAGGAACUAGGCAAAAUGGUGCCGUAACUUCGGGAGAAGGCACGCUGAUAUGUAGGUGAAGUCCCUCGCGGAUGGAGCUGAAAUCAGUCGAAGAUACCAGCUGGCUGCAACUGUUUAUUAAAAACACAGCACUGUGCAAACACGAAAGUGGACGUAUACGGUGUGACGCCUGCCCGGUGCCGGAAGGUUAAUUGAUGGGGUCAGCGCAAGCGAAGCUCUUGAUCGAAGCCCCGGUAAACGGCGGCCGUAACUAUAACGGUCCUAAGGUAGCGAAAUUCCUUGUCGGGUAAGUUCCGACCUGCACGAAUGGCGUAAUGAUGGCCAGGCUGUCUCCACCCGAGACUCAGUGAAAUUGAACUCGCUGUGAAGAUGCAGUGUACCCGCGGCAAGACGGAAAGACCCCGUGAACCUUUACUAUAGCUUGACACUGAACAUUGAGCCUUGAUGUGUAGGAUAGGUGGGAGGCUUUGAAGUGUGGACGCCAGUCUGCAUGGAGCCGGCCUUGAAAUACCACCCUUUAAUGUUUGAUGUUCUAACGUUGACCCGUGAUCCGGGUUGCGGACAGUGUCUGGUGGGUAGUUUGACUGGGGCGGUCUCCUCCUAAAGAGUAACGGAGGAGCACGAAGGUUGGCUAAUCCUGGUCGGACAUCAGGAGGUUAGUGCAAUGGCAUAAGCCAGCUUGACUGCGAGCGUGACGGCGCGAGCAGGUGCGAAAGCAGGUCAUAGUGAUCCGGUGGUUCUGAAUGGAAGGGCCAUCGCUCAACGGAUAAAAGGUACUCCGGGGAUAACAGGCUGAUACC